UACGUAGGGUGCGAGCGUUGCUCGGAAUUACUGGGCGUAAAGGGCGCGUAGGCGGAUAGUUUAGUCAGAGGUGAAAGCCCAGGGCUCAACCCUGGAAUUGCCUUUGAUACUGGCUAUCUUGAGUUCGGGAGAGGUGAGUGGAACUCCGAGUGUAGAGGUGAAAUUCGUAGAUAUUCGGAAGAACACCAGUGGCGAAGGCGACUCACUGGCCCGAUACUGACGCUGAGGCGCGAAAGCGUGGGGAGCAAACAGG
RNAcentral lists this ribosomal RNA (253 nucleotides) under uncultured bacterium. Its description in RNAcentral is "partial 16S ribosomal RNA". It matches the Rfam family "Bacterial small subunit ribosomal RNA", at positions 524 to 776 of the family's 1533-position model. The record is from RNAcentral.